RNAcentral lists this long non-coding RNA (2087 nucleotides) under Bos indicus x Bos taurus (hybrid cattle). Its description in RNAcentral is "lncRNA (ENSBIXG00000006423.1)". Lineage: Eukaryota; Metazoa; Chordata; Mammalia; Artiodactyla; Bovidae. The record is from RNAcentral.
GGGAAGAUUACAGUUUGAAUUAAUAUUCAGACGCACUUCAGGGCCCUCUUCCCAUCCGUUCCCCCGCCCCCCAACCUAUGACCCUGUUCUGAGAGCCCACUAGUUGUUCAGCGAAAUGGGAAAUGGUGCGCCUCUGCCGGCCAUCUUCGGAGGUCAGGAUCCAUUCAGUGGUUUUGACCCAUUUGUCAGCUUUUGAAGGUUGCAACAGCUUUUGUUUGGUGUCCAGAGUUUCCAGCCCCCUCCCCACCCCCUCACCCCCAAAACUCUGAGUAAGUAAUACAACUUAACGGUGGGGCAUGUGGCCAAUGCUGAGCUGGGGAGGGAAGAGUGGAACUGUGGGGAUGUGGCCAGGAGGAAAUAAGAGCAAAUUCCUCCGAAACGAUCUGACAGGAAAUGACAGCGCAUCGGCCUCCCCUCGCAGAGGGAGCGAGCCUCCGAGAGGGGAGAAGUCCUUCCUAAUCACAGAGCAGUGCCAGAGCGCAGUAGGAAUGGUGGCUGCUACAUGCAGUUUUAGAUCAAUCUACUAUAGUCAUGCUGCCCUGAGACCCAGAUAAUUCCUCUGUGAACUCUGGACACUCCGAAGCACCUUCAUGUUCACACAUUUGGAGAGCCUGUCAGCCUCUUGGGCCUCCAGUCUGCAUCUCUACUGAUCAUCCCAUUCUAUCCAUUACUCCUGGGAUGAGAGAAGCCUCCUUGCGAAGUCGGAAGAGGAGAAAGACUGUGGAUAAUCAUACUUUUAAUUUUUUAUCUCCAUCAGAGUAAAUAACUUUCUAAAAUACAUGAAUAUGAUCCUAUGAAUCUUUCUAAUCUGAAAGCAAUGCUGAGAGUCUAGUCAUUGGCAUAUAUUGCUGUGGCAAAUUUAUUUUUUUCAAAUAUACUAUUUGCUGUCAAGCCCACUGGCAGCAUGAUAGAAUGAUUACUUUAUUGUUAUUUGUUGUUUUUAAAUUACUAUAGCAAUCUACAUUAAGAAACCUACCGAAGCCUAUAUUUCUCUUUUUAUUGAACCAUCAGAAGGGAUUGAAAUUAAUUUCAAAUCAUUUCUUAAAAAGAACAUUCAAUGCUUCCUUGUUAUUCACUACUUGGUUGACAAAGACAAAUUCUGUUUUGAAAUACUGUGUGACAUUACUUGGUACUGUUUUCCUAUCAAGAAAAAGUGCACCUAUUUUUCUGUUUAAUGAACUAAGAUAACUGAAGGCUAUAGCACUCGAUACAUCUUGUGGCUUUUAUGAUAUUGUCCAAUUUUCACAUGAUUCAUAAUUUACAACUCAAAUAGAGAAGGCAGGGGUGGGCAUGCAUGGAAAUUGCAAAUCUGUUGGGUAGUACUUUUGAGUGUAGAGACUUGAUAAUAAUUAAAAUGAGAGGUUCCAAGCUUUUCCCCAAGUGUGCAUCAAACUGGCAGCAAAGACAAGUCUGCUCCACCUCCAUCACUACUGAAGAGAAAAAGCCCACAAACCCCGCCACGGCCGGCAAAGUCGGCGUUUGCUGCCCUCUCCCCACUGCUUCCUUUGAAUUCCCACCCUUCUCUACAUGACAGCCCAGAGUCCGGCUCCCACCUCUUCCUUGGCCCUUUCUUUUCUCAUAAUGGCUGUGAUGUCUAACCACCCACCAAAAGUUUGUGCCCCCCCUUUCACAGUGCCCUGGGGAAUGGGUGCCCGGUGUCUACAUUCCCCAGCUUCACUUGCAUCUGGGCAGACUCUUAGACUAGCUCUUACCAACGAUCUGUUCAUAGUAGGUAUGUCUAUUCUUGGCUACAGUUUUUUUUUUUAAUUCAUUAACAAAUAUUUAUUCAAUGUACAAUUUAUCACUGGUUACAAAUCCAAGCCAGUCUUUUUAUUAUUAUCUUAUUAUCCUGUGGCUCUAGCAUCCAGAGUCCUCUGCAGUCAUCUUAUUUAUAUGAUGCAUUUUAAUUUUUUAGUUUUUCAGUAUUUUAAUUUUAAUGGAGUAUAGUGGAUUUACAAUGCUGUGUUAGUUGUCAGAGAAAGACAGAUGUCCUAUGAUAUAUCACUCAUAUGUGGAUUCUAAUUUCAAAAAAAGAUACAGAUGAACUUAUUUACAAAAUAAAAGUAGACUUAUAGAUAUUGAAAACA